This 1933-nucleotide long non-coding RNA is filed under the name Helianthus annuus (common sunflower). RNAcentral describes it as "hypothetical non coding rna". Lineage: Eukaryota; Viridiplantae; Streptophyta; Magnoliopsida; Asterales; Asteraceae. The record is from RNAcentral.
UGGAAAACACUCCAUGAGCAACAAGAGGAGUAGAGAUGGACUUUUUAAUAAAGUAAACCUGACCGAGUAAAGAUGUCAUGAGCAUACUGCAAGAGAAGCCUUGAUGUAAAAAGAAGUCACUUAGUCACGGAAACCAAGCGCGUGAAGCUUGUAUAAGGCCAUACAACGUUUUCUUUAAACGGCACACAUGAUAUCAGCCUAAUCCUACGCUCCUCUUUUUCUUUUGAUAUGUUCUCACAGGUGAUGGUAUCUGAAUACUAUAAAAGUGCUCUAAUUAUCAUGUGAGUAUAUAAAUCUUCACCAUAAGAAUUAUGUUGAUAGGCACUUUAUAAUGAGAAUUACAAGAGAUAUACAUGAAGAAUAUUGACACAAAAGAUUUACAUAGACAUCUGACCAUGCCCUUCUAUUAUGGAGUAUACAUAUCUACGGGUGUGAAAGUCAAAUGUGAGAACCACACCUCAAGUAUACAAACUCUCAUGGAGCCGGGUCAAGUUUAUACAAUAGGGCCCGGGGAGCUUCAAUGACCCACAAAAACUAGCCUAAAAUUGUAACAAAAAGAUGGUGAAUUUAUGAUACCUUACAAUCCAGGAUAUAUCUACAUUCUUUUACACACAGAUCUCUAAAUUGGAAGGUUGGAAAGAUUAUUUGUCUACAAAACUCUGCAGCUUCUUUUUGGAUGUUAGGUUGUGAACUUGUAUCAAGAACACACAAGUAUUUACUGUUUUAAUCUGCACAAAAUUUUCAUACGGUCAGGUAUUCACCGAGUGAUAGAAAGGAGUUUCAAAGGGCGUUUGGAUGUGCGUUGUGAAAGUGAUUAUGUGACACCGGAUUAUGAAAAUCAGAUAAAUGCCUAUGAAAAUGCUAAUUUAACUUUUCCUUUAUGUGAUGGGUGUUUCUUAGCUAUUGUUAUAAUCAUGUGCACUUAGUAUAACGCUUAAUGGUUUAUAAGAUAUCAUUAUCUACAAAACAUGAUGCUUAAGGAUCAAACAUGUAUAUUACUUACAUUUUGUUUAAGCUGUUCCAGUAAUCAAUUUCUCCCGUUGAUCGAGUUUCUUAACCUUCAACAGGCCAAACAGAACUUGGAACCCAAAAAAUGCACAAAAGGAAUACGCUAUCAUAGCGGGACCCUGAAAGAAGACAUGAAGCAUAAUGAAAUUUAGCAUCAAAGCAGCAACACGUUGAAACGACCUCUCGGAUUCCAAUGCUCGAACUCGUAACUUCAAAUCACCUUGCUCCUAUAAGAAUAUGCGAUACAAAAUUGUAAUUCAGGUAAACUAUGUGAAAAACAAUGAAAAUGAGGGAAACUUGAUACACAUAAAUGAUAUUUACCAAUCGUUCAAUAACUGCAACGAGUUUCUCAAUCCUGUCAGCUUGUCUAAAUAAGUUAUAAAAUGCUUGUGAUUGUCUUUCCCAUCUUUUUUUAAAGUCCUGAAACAAAAUACAAUAUGGUCAAAAGAUGAAAUUAGUUCUUGAAUACACAAAAUGCCAUAUAUUAUGAAAAGUGAUUUAAGAAUUAAGAUUAAACCUUGAUGACAACUUCAAUACCAGCUUCACGAAACCUUAGCAGUUCCAGAGCAUAGCUAGAAAUAAACAAACUAUCAUGUUACUUUUAAGGUUUCAAUAAGUAAAUAGGGCAAAAUGAACACUCACGGCUUAGCAAUUUCUGUGAUAUCAAAACGGGGGUCGAGACCCUUUCCAAUGCCAUCUAACACUGCAAGAUACAAAUAAACACCGUGAGAUGUCUUUAAAUUAUAAUUAUUAUGAUACUAUCAAUACUUGGGUAUCUAAUUUGAGAGUGCAUUUUCAUCUGGUAUUAGAAGACGAUGAUAAUUACAAAAAUCAGAUACUGGUACCUGAAAAAGCUCUAACUACAAAGGUGAAAGUGGCAGGAAAUCGGAAUGGUUGAUCUGCUGAAAUAGCCAAUAAAUCCUCC